Long non-coding RNA from Felis catus (domestic cat), 4563 nucleotides. RefSeq lists it as uncharacterized. The transcript has 4 exons. NCBI's taxonomy places the organism in Eukaryota, Metazoa, Chordata, Mammalia, Carnivora, Felidae. The record is from RefSeq and is a predicted model, not a curated record.
CCCCGUGGAAAGGAGGUUCCGUCUGAAUCCCUGCCCCAGCUUUCCUCGGCCUGACCUUGAACACGAGGCUUAAUCUCUGGGAGCCUCCGUCCGGGGGUGGGGGGGGGGGGGGAGGGAUGACAACAGCUUCUCAAAGGUCCCUGAAAACCCUGAGCGGGAUGAAAGGGAAGCGCCCUGGGGGUUGCCAAACUCCUAGAGUAACAGCACAUCACGACCACAAGACUUUUUGCUUUCUGGUUGCCACAAAAUGAAUGCAUUUUAACAGAAAUCUACAAAAGUCAACCGUGUGUGUUUAAAUCCCGAGGUAGGUUGGGGUAAGGGAGAAAUGACCAAAGCAUGACCUUAGGCCGGUGAGGGGGCGCACCCAGAGCUCGAGGUGGGUGCAACCACCCCGGAGGGAGGGAGGCUGGCGUCUUCCUGUGUGUGCAGGGGGAGGGGAGGAGAGCCGCAGCCGAGCGGGGGUGGUUGCUGGGCCUUACGGUCAUGUCCACAUUUGCUCGUUAUUUAUGAAAUGCUCUGCCUUCAGAGGGCCGCCCCCAGGGUCCCCGGUUUUGCCUUUGUCCCCACGCCUGCAAGCUGGGGCAAAGUCUCGCUGCUCCGGGAGCAUUAGCCUCCACUGCCCGCACUGCCCUUUAAGAGGAAAACCCAGCACCUGUGCUCCCAGCUGGAGACCGUCUCUCUGAGAGUGUGAGGCAACCUCGCUGGCCUGCCUGGAAGAGGAGGCUGUUGGGAGAAAGUGGGAGCACGGUCUCUGCCAAGAUCCCCGCCCGAGGAAAGGACGGUGAGCUGGUCUGCAGACCCGGCCUCCGUGCGGAGCCUGCUGGGAGCUGACCGGAGAUGCCUUUGGUAGAUCGUGAGCUCCCCAUCCUGGGAGUGUGUGAACAGGGCUGGCCGAUGCUGUGAGAGUGAUGCCGUGAACGCACCUCAGAUGGCAGAAGCAGCAUGGGACUCGCCGUUUCCAGGUUCAUUUUGGAUUCUACGCCUUGAAACUGUUACAGACACAUGAUCUUCCUUUGGACGACUCAUGUAUUUCACUGAAAGAGCCCUGUCUCCAUCACCCACCCCAGGGAAACACUGUCCCCGAGGCCCCCCGGGGAGCCUGGGCUCCUGGCCCUCCGCGUGGGCCCCACCAAACCCAGGGUCAUAUUGGACAGUCUCCUCACCGGGGACCCUCCUCCAGGACUCAUCCACAGGUGCAAUUUGAAAGUCGAUCACCACCGUCUCGUGUCACCUCCGGAGGCACCCCAGGAAACCGAGAUGUGUAAGCUCCUGCCGACCGGCACACCCUCUCUCCGUGUUCGCCCGCUGGAUUUGCGCACAUCUCACAUCUCCUCGUACGAUCAGAAGCAAAGAGAGAGGGAGAAGCAUUCCCCGCGUCCCAAGACAAGUUGAUGGUCACACCAGAAGUGCCCCUGACGCUCCACAGGCAGCAGAUGGGGCGUCGUGUUCUUUUUAGGAGCCGCUCCUAACUGAACAGGUCACUGCUCAGAGAAGCUGCUGUGACACUUUAGUUUCUGGUGGAGAAAGAAGGAGUCCGGGCUUUCCUGCCCGACUAGACGGCCGUGUGAUCUGAGGACGUCACUUGAGGACACCCAGGGCACCAAAGUUCCAGGAAAGUCCGACUCAGCAGAGACGGGGGAAGGCCCCUCUCUGCAGCUCCACGGCACAGGUACUCCGGGACCCGCCGGAUGGCAGGUGCCAGGCUCCCGCGACCCGUGGGGUCCAGCCCUUGUCGAGACCCAGGGCCUCGGCCGCCCGGCGCUUCCCUGGAAGGAUCACUUGACUUUCGUUGGGAUCCACUUGUGCGGUCCUUCUCCGUUCGCUUCCACAGAGGCAAAUGUCUGCCAGCGGGAGGGCUUCUGGAACUGCCCAGGCCUGCCCAGGGCCUGCCCUGUCGGACUGGGGUGGAGGUGGGGUCAGAAGGUCUGUUUGGCAGAGACCUCACAUUCCAGAAUGACCUCAUGGUAGGUGAGUUGUGAUUUCAGCCUCACCGAUCCGCACGCGGGGCCUCCCGACGAGGCCUUGGGGAGUCCAGCCUUCCCGCUCGCCGUGGUGCCCACCCAGGUCCUCAAGGACCACGUCUCUCUCCGCACUCCUGGAAGCCAGAUCUCCGGGCUCUGUAGGUCUUUGUUCGUGGGUGCAGGCCUCACCCUGGUACCUGCCAGGCUGCAUGCUCCCUGCAGAACCUUCCAGAAAUCUGGCCAUCCAGCAUCGACACUCAGGCUGCCAGUGAGGCACUGAUGGUGUGAGGAAGGGGGGACACAUGUUCAUGAGACAUGAUCGCAAGGGGGCUGCCUCAGUUUCCCCAGCUGUGGGAGGCAUCCUGGACAUCCACAGCCUAGUGCCGGCCCCAGGGUCCCCUCUGCUUGGCAUGGCUUCGUCAUGGUCCCAGAACUGCUACCUGGGCUGACCCCUUCAAGCCCGGUGGUUCUGUUCACUGAGUCUGGCUGAGCCACCUUCCUCCCCUCCCCUGACCUUCUCAACCUCCAUCCAGGACAACAUGGCUCCUUCCCAGCAGACAAGCUGCAGGGCCUGAGAGCCCCCUUCCCCGGAGUCAGCUGCCAGACCUCCCCCCCACCAACCCCUGUCCUGGAAAUAAGGGACAAAUUCCCAACUGAGAAACAGACCUCCAGGGGCUUCUAGCUUAGUGAUGGGACAGCAACAAGGUGGAGACCAGCUGCGCGGCAGUUCUCAGUAAGUGCUGGGGGGCUGCUAGGAGGGAGAGGCCACGUCGGGAGGCCUACCGGCCAGUGUGAAACGGCUCUGGGGCGGCGGGGGAGGGCAAAGCUGGCAGGUGCAGCGGGAGAGCCAGGCUGUCCGCAGGCAGCUGACCUCGGGCACUGUGCACUGGCAUCGGGUGGGCCUGGUGCGGGAAGGACAGACGGCUGUAGUCACAGAGGAGGGGCCGAGAUUUGCAAGGAGACAGGAUGCUGAGUCUGGAGCCUGCCGGGCACGAGUCAGGUGGAGCCGUCACUGCAGGGGGAGACCGCCCUGAGGGGGGUCCUGGGGCCCAGGGAGGCCCUCGUGGGAGGACUGAGACUUUGGGACUUCGCCUGAGGGGGGUAUGUCCCUGCAGAGCCUGGCUUGGGGGGCCAAGGGACCAGGCCCUCUCCAGGCUCCCCGGCUGUGAGCAGAGAGCUGCCCGCAGAGGCCCCUGGAAGGACCACUGGGGGGAGGCCAGGAGCGAGCCCUCUGGUCCCCCAGCUUCCUUCUCCGGAGCCCUGGUGGCCACCAGGACCCCGACAGCUUGCCGACCCACCCUGCCCCGGGACGGGGGACCAGGGGGCUGGGUGAGCUCAGGUGAGUUCUCCCAACACCCGAGCCUGCUCAGUGGUGAGAUCUUUCCCAAAGUCUCCACGGUUCGGUGGCCUGUGGCCAGCAUCUUGCAGGACUGGUGGGCACCUUCCCCAUCCCGGGGUUGAAAUGCGAUUCUCCCACUCGCCCAGAAGCCUGAAUGUUCUAUCAACCUCAGGAACAUGGAGACCCAGAGGGGAUUUGGAGAGCUGGCUUAAUUUCCGGAUCCCAGAUGGCUUGCCCCGUCACAGGAAGUGGGUGGCUCGGCAAGGCCCUCCGAGGCCCCCUGCCUCCCUCACCCCCGCCCUCUCCUGGUGGUGCCUCCCCCUCCUGCCUCCAGGCCUGCGGGACCCCUCCCUGCAGUUACACCUGAGGCUUCCCAGAAAUGCUUCCUGAAAACCCUCCCACAGGCUCCUGGCUGGGCCGGGGGACCCGCUGAGGUCACCUCCGAACCCGGCCCCACAUCCUCCCGUGCAGACCCCGCCCCCGCCUCCUAAGACGACCUCAGCGCCCACUCCUCACUUCUCCCCCCUCGCUGAUCACUGCCCCUCCUGGGAACGCAUCCCCCCUGCCCUCCAAGGCCUUACACGCCUGACGUCCUUCUCUGCUCCCUCUGUCCCCUCACUCGUGAGGCAGGCUCGCCGUGGCCCAGGCCCCAAACCUGUGCCCGCAGCCGGCGUCCUCUGAGCUCUGCCUUCCAAGACCCAUGGCUGGCCUCCCCCGUGUCCCCCCUGGGAGGGGUCCGUGUGGGUCUCUCCGGCUGACCCCCGACCACAGGCAUGGCCCAGGGCCUCCUCCUUGGGCCUCGACUGGCUCCCUCCCGGUGUCCUCGUCUUGCCCAGGGACCUGUCCAGACCGUUUGGGUUCUCCAGUCUCCCGUCACCGCUGCUUGCCACUGUCCCUGCCAGCCCCCCGGUGGAUCAUCGUGUAUUCGGAAAACGCCAGCCUCCCUGCCGUCGUUCCGGGGGCCGUGCUGGGCUCCAGUGCAGACAGCCCCCUGCACACCUCGGCGUUUCAGCCACCUUGUCCCCACCUUGUUCACGGUCACAUCCGUGCCCCUCCCCAGGGCCCCACCUCCAGGGCUCCCGGAGACCCCAGAGCCCUCGGCCAGGACGUCCCACACCCUCCGUUCGGCCCCAUUUAUCCCACCCGGGUCUUGCCUCCCUUCCCCCCUGCCAGGCUUUCUUCUCCCCACCCUCCAUGACUCGCGCUCCACCUCUGUCUCUGCCUCUCUGUCUCUCUGUCUCUGCAUCUCUGUCUCUGCGUCUC